RNAcentral lists this ribosomal RNA (253 nucleotides) under uncultured bacterium. Its description in RNAcentral is "partial 16S ribosomal RNA". It matches the Rfam family "Bacterial small subunit ribosomal RNA", at positions 524 to 776 of the family's 1533-position model. The record is from RNAcentral.
UACGGAGGGUGCGAGCGUUGUUCGGAAUCAUUGGGCGUAAAGCGCGUGUAGGCGGCUUGGCAAGUCGGGUGUGAAAUCCCGGGGCCCAACCCCGGAACUGCAUUCGAAACUGCCUCGCUAGAGUCCCGGAGAGGAAGGCGGAAUUCCCGGUGUAGAGGUGAAAUUCGUAGAUAUCGGGAGGAACACCAGCGGCGAAGGCGGCCUUCUGGACGGUGACUGACGCUGAGACGCGAAAGCGUGGGGAGCAAACAGG